This is a long non-coding RNA of Onychostoma macrolepis, 871 nucleotides long. RefSeq lists it as uncharacterized. The record is from RefSeq and is a predicted model, not a curated record. The transcript is spliced from 3 exons. NCBI's taxonomy places the organism in Eukaryota, Metazoa, Chordata, Actinopteri, Cypriniformes, Cyprinidae.
UCGACGGCCUGUCAUUUAAAUGUACCAUAAGCCUACUGUUCACUGUUCAAACGAGCCGUUCCGUCUUUAUUUUGCACGGCCCGCUCUUCAGCACCGUUAAUUACCGUUAAUGCCGUUCUGUGUGACGUCAUUUGCGCAGAUCUGCUAGAAUUGAGAAAACCUCCUUUCGUUUCACAUUCAUGUCGGUCAAGGUAACGUUAGUUUAAAAAAAUGUAGCCAUUUACAAUUAAUAUUUUCACAUUUAAGCAGUGUUGUCUCACAGAUUUGUCUGAGUGAGAGCGCGCGACACUGACGCACACUGAACGCUGUCUCUCUCUCUCUCUCAUCGUGUGUGACAGAGCGAGCGAGAGAAAGACUCACACAAGCCAAUGUAGCCUAUCCUUAUGAGAUAAUAUUUCUGCUUUUUAAUAACAAAUAAUCACAAUAAAAGUAAAACAUGUAUGCAUGUGUAUACACCAGGGAAGAAAUAAAAGUCAUAUUCAAGUAAAGUUAUAAUUAUUUUCAAAAAUGAAAAUAUUUAUUAUUUUUUUCUUUCUUUUUUCAGAUUGUCAUCCGAUUGUUGUAAGUGAUCAGUCAAGCAGUCAUCCUGCAUCUUGGAUUUGCCAUGUUCAGUUUGUACAAACAUUAUCUGAUAUUGAUGCGCUGGAUGGAGAAACUGAGAAGUUUAUAAACAGAAGGCAUGGAAGAAGAGAGCAGGUCCUACAACAAAGAAAUUCUUCUUAAGGAUAAACUUGAGGUCCUGGGAGUUCUUAGAGGUUCUAAAGUGUUUUUUAUGCAUUUGUUGAUGUCAAAUUUUCAAUAAUAAAUUCAAAUAAAUUCUCAUAGUUUUUACAUUUAUAUGGUGUCAUUCCAACUGGGGGGUAUUGAAGGG